This 427-nucleotide ribosomal RNA is filed under the name uncultured bacterium. RNAcentral's name for it is "bacterial SSU rRNA". It matches the Rfam family "Bacterial small subunit ribosomal RNA", at positions 354 to 796 of the family's 1533-position model. The record is from RNAcentral.
GUGGGGAAUCUUGCGCAAUGGGCGAAAGCCUGACGCAGCAACGCCGCGUGCGGGAUGACGGCCUUCGUGGUUGUAAACCGCUUUCAGCAGGGACGAAAAUGACGGUACCUGCAGAAGAAGCCCCGGCUAACUACGUGCCAGCAGCCGCGGUAAUACGUAGGGGGCAAGCGUUGUCCGGAUUCAUUGGGCGUAAAGAGCUCGUAGGCGGUUCAGUAAGUCGGGUGUGAAAGCUCCGAGCUCAACUCGGAGAGGCCACCCGAUACUGCUGUGACUUGAGUCCAGUAGAGGAGCGUGGAACUCCUGGUGUAGCGGUGAAAUGCGCAGAUAUCAGGAAGAACACCUGCAGCGAAGGCGGCGCUCUGGGCUGGAACUGACGCUGAGGAGCGAAAGCGUGGGUAGCAAACAGGAUUAGAUACCCGAGUAGUCC